CCUACGGGUGGCAGCAGUGAGGAAUAUUGGUCAAUGGGCUUACGCCUGAACCAGCCAAGUCGCGUGAGGGAAGACUGCCCUAUGGGUUGUAAACCUCUUUUGUCAGGGAGCAACGCCGGCUACGUGUAGCCGGACUGAGAGUACCUGAAGAAAAAGCAUCGGCUAACUCCGUGCCAGCAGCCGCGGUAAUACGGAGGAUGCGAGCGUUAUCCGGAUUUAUUGGGUUUAAAGGGUGCGUAGGCGGAAUGCCAAGUCAGCGGUAAAAUCGCGGGGCUCAACCUCGCUCCGCCGUUGAAACUGGCGUGCUUGAGUGGGCGAGAAGUAUGCGGAAUGCGUGGUGUAGCGGUGAAAUGCAUAGAUAUCGCGCAGAACUCCGAUUGCGAAGGCAGCAUACCGGCGCCCAACUGACGCUGAAGCACGAAAGUGUGGGUAUCGAACAGGAUUAGAUACCCUGGUAGUC
RNAcentral lists this ribosomal RNA (460 nucleotides) under uncultured bacterium. RNAcentral's name for it is "partial 16S ribosomal RNA". It matches the Rfam family "Bacterial small subunit ribosomal RNA", at positions 338 to 795 of the family's 1533-position model. The record is from RNAcentral.